UACGUAGGGUGCAAGCGUUGUCCGGAAUUAUUGGGCGUAAAGAGCUCGUAGGCGGUGUGUCGCGUCGGCCGUGAAAACCUGUAGCUUAACUGUGGGCUUGCGGUCGAUACGGGCAUCACUGGAGUUCGGCAGGGGAGACUGGAAUUCCUGGUGUAGCGGUGAAAUGCGCAGAUAUCAGGAGGAACACCGGUGGCGAAGGCGGGUCUCUGGGCCGAUACUGACGCUGAGGAGCGAAAGCGUGGGGAGCGAACAGG
Molecule: ribosomal RNA, 254 nt
Filed under: uncultured bacterium
Lineage: Bacteria
Description: partial 16S ribosomal RNA
Rfam family: Bacterial small subunit ribosomal RNA
Source: RNAcentral